GCUCUGUGUGACGCGUUGAUGGGUAAAGGAAUCGUCGAACGGACACAUGCCCUCUUACACACCGUACGUGGCGCACACUAAGAGGGUGACGGCUCGCAUGCGCGCGCGCAUGCACAAACAGUCGUUCACAAACGCUAUCCUAGCUUCAACACAAGCGGAGCGGACGGAUUUGUCGAGAGUAGCGGACGCGCGUCUGCGUGAGUUGACGGCACUCCGCGCAGACCAUCAGCGCACCUUCGACCCUAUUUUCAAGCAGAAAGCGCUGAACCUUCUGCAGACCUUACCGCUCAAGGCCGCGGCGGAUGAUCCACAUUUUACUUACACGUUGGGUGCGUUGCGGGUGUGCGGGUACUUCAGUGCAACGCAGUCCCCGGCAACCUUCAACUUGCUUAACCACGCCACACGGCACACCUUCCUCCUCGACGCGUUCAGCUUCUAUCAGCUUUUCCUCGCAUUGGAAGAGAUGCGUCAUCCUCAGACGGCGGAGAUACUGUCAAUCGUGCUACCCCGUGUGAUGGAGGUGGCGACUGACUUCACUGAGGGAGAGGCGCGCCUGCUGCUCGAUCUUUACUUCAAACACAACUUGCUUACCAAGGAGCUCAGCGAGAGGCUUGCAGGCGUGAUCACAGGCUCGGUGAACGACUUGAGUGGAAAGGAUUUGAUCAGCGCUGUGUCGGCAGUGCCAAACAUGGCGUUUGAACAGAUUUCGCGCCGAUUUCUGGAAGCUGCGACACCGCGCCUUUGCCGCACCCUGCGAGAGGCCACAGAGCAGGUGCAACUUUACAAGGCAACGUACCUGGAGCACGCCGGUCGAGGCGCCGCCGCCUCGGAUGCAGCGCGGCCGAUGCUGAGACGCGACGCCGACGGUCAGCCGCCGCAGAAUCCCGAUAUGGAGACACCCACUGAGAGGACUCUGCGACGCAGGAAGGAAGAGGAGUGGCGCCAGCUCCUGAUCGAUCAAAUUUACGAAGGGCUCAGCUUGCACCGAGAGUUGCAGAAAAGCAUAACGUGGCUGUGCUGGGCUCCGCGCCCACUCCUGAAUGAGUUGGUGCGGUGCGCGCUGAUCUUCAGCGAGCCGCUCCUCGCUGACGCAGCGGAGCAGCUACCUGCAGCUCUCAAAGAUAAGGCAACUGGUGCGAGUGCCUCCUCUGUCGCGAUAUCUGCGAACGGUGAGCUGGCGGCGAUCGUGGCGGAGCGCGAAAAUUAUGCGCGCGACCUGCCGCAGGUGCGACGCCGCAGCCUCUGCCACUGCCUGAAAAUGCUUCAUUUCACGUCUUACAGACACCUCCCUGCCCUCCGCCUCCUCUCUGCGCGGAUCGCGGCAACGAAGGAUGUCUUGGGCAUCGUAUCUCCGCUGGUGCUGGCGCGUGAGCUUUCACAGGCUGUAGAGGCUAUUGCCUUUUUUUGUGCGACAGACUGUGCCCCAGCUGUGACGGCAAUAAUCGAUGACAUCCUGGAGCACAUCGAGCCUGUCACGAAUUCGCCUGCGCUACUGAAUCGUUUUCACGCGUUCUCCACAGAAGAGCUGAAGCUUGUGGAGCGGGUGGUGCUGCGCGUGCUGCUCAGCUGUACACGGUUUCUCUCCACGCGCAGCUCGGAGAAGGCGGAAAAGAACGCACUGCAGAGAGCACCUGCGCAGGAGGAGGCGAUACGCGCCAUCCUGGCCCAAGCCACGGCGCUUGCUAUCUCGCCCAUAACACGCGCCUACCUCGCGCUCGGGUUGCGGCUCAUGCACUCUAGCAAGGCGCAUGGAGAGAGGGGCGCCAAACAAGUGCAGUGCUUUAUUGGCACCAUGCACCUGCUCUAUGUGACCACCGUUAUACUGGCCGUGUCUUCGCAGGCAGGUGCAGCACCGACGGCGCCGGAUCCGGCCGCACACGAAGUCCUGCGCGCCAUCCUUAGGCAGCUCGUGCCGUGGGCGCAGACGAUGGCGACGAUGCAGGCCGGUGAGAUGCCGGAGGAGGCAGCGGCGGAGAUGGCGAAGGCGCUGGCCUUGCUUAAGGAGCAUCCGGAGAUCAUGGACACUCCGGCCGGGGCUACGACGCAGAGAGAGAACAAAGAAGAAUAGCGUUGACACGCGCGCAAGUUUGCUUGCCGGUGUCUAGGAACUUGGCUUCGUGGUCUCUCUGUCACACACACACACACUCACACACACGACUACUAGCAUGCAGCGCCAUUCUGUUGGUGCCCUCCAGAGUCCGCCCGCAUCUGCCUCUCUCUGUCGCUGUCACCUUCCCUCCCUUCCCCGUGCACGCUGCUUCGCCGGACCCUAUGCAUGAAAGAAAUAAACCGAGAAGGAAAGGCCGGCAUAUGGCAGUAGGCGCUGCGGGCUUUCCUCGGUGUUUCACUGGCGUUGAUCUCUUUGCCCAGCUGCACAAACUCGCCCGCGCAUUUAGACAGAGACACGGCCACUAGGAGAGACAUGCACGAUUUCAUGCCAUCUUACAAGCGAGCCAACGAAGCCACCGGGGCUGCUUAGGUGGGGGUGGGGGUAGGCGUGGCAGUGGCCGCUGUAGCGAGCACGCUUGAGCCCAUGGGAGCUACAAGACCUGUGCUUGCAUAUCUCGCUGCUGCUGCUGCUGUUGCACGAGAACAGGACGCUUUUUUCUUUGUAU
RNAcentral lists this unclassified non-coding RNA (2615 nucleotides) under Leishmania donovani. RNAcentral describes it as "gene:LdHU3.32.4250(CDS-product:mitochondrial_RNA_ binding_protein_putative)". Lineage: Eukaryota; Euglenozoa; Kinetoplastea; Trypanosomatida; Trypanosomatidae. The record is from RNAcentral.